GAUGAAGAACGCAGCGAAAUGCGAUAAGUAAUGUGAAUUGCAGAAUUCAGUGAAUCAUCGAAUCUUUGAACGCACAUUGCGCCCGCCAGUAUUCUGGCGGGCAUGCCUGUCUGAGCGUCAUUUCAACCCUCAUGCCCCUAGGGCGUGGUGUUGGGGAUCGGCCAAAGCCCGCGAGGGACGGCCGGCCCCUAAAUCUAGUGGCGGACCCGUCGUGGCCUCCUCUGCGAAGUAGUGAUAUUCCGCAUCGGAGAGCGAUGAGCCCCUGCCGUUAAACCCCCAACUUUCCAAGGUUGACCUCAGAUCAGGUAGGAAUACCCGCUGAACUUAAGCAUAUCAAAAGCGGAGGA
Molecule: unclassified non-coding RNA, 347 nt
Filed under: soil metagenome
Description: partial contains 5.8S ribosomal RNA, internal transcribed spacer 2, and large subunit ribosomal RNA
Rfam family: 5.8S ribosomal RNA (bases 1-120)
Source: RNAcentral